CUCUCUCUUCACUCACACGCUGUCGGGUACAGUAUACACACACGUCACAUGGUAUGCUCCAUAGGGUAUGUUCGAGUUGUGGACACGUGCGCUCACACUUGCAUGUGACAGGGCAAAUGGCCAAUGAAACGUGGUCAUUAUAAAGCGGUUUCAAUUGGGCCCUAAAUUGAACUAAGCCACACAGCCAACGGACGCACCUCUCCACAAAAUAAACUGAAUAAUGUGUACUUUCUGCUGCAUUGUCGAUUCUGAUCCUGCUCUACAUGCUAUUGUAAUAACGGUAUUGAGUCAAUAUAUCGUGCACACCUACUUCAUAGUGUGUACAGUAGGAAGUGGUCUUUACCUCAUAGUGGGUACAGUAGGAGGUGGUCUUUACCUCAUAGUGUGUACAGUAGGAGGUGAUCAUGACCUCAUAGUGUGUACAGUAGGAGGUGAUCAUGACCUCAUAGUGUGUACAGUAGGAGGUGAUAAUGACCUCGUAGUGUGUACAGUAGGAGGUGAUCAUGACCUCGUAGUGUGUACUGUAGGCCAGAGGAAGGAGAAGGAGGUGUUGGUCAAUGGGUCAGUCAGGUGGUUGUUUGAAGGGCUGAGUGGGAUCAGUUCCAUGAGAGGAGUGAGUAGGUGAUGAGUGUGGUGGAUCAGUAGAAUGACUGGGUGAGAGCAGCGUUAGUGGGAGCAGCUACUGAGGCUAGACCUGAGAGUUCAGGGAGCAAGAGGAGGAAGGAGGUUCCAUGGUGGACGGAGGAGUGAGGAGGAGCAGUGAAGAGUAGGAGUCAGACUCCUCAGUGCUGCUCCAUAUUCAGGGUAUUAAAAGGACUCAUCAUUUCCAACAUGAUCCAGUAUAAAGAGGCUCAGGCUGUGGUGAGGAGAUACACGUCCAGUUAACAGGGUGUGUCCACGCCGGUUCUGUGAUACCGUGAACAAUGACACCUAUGGGAGAAGUCUGGGGGAUGAUUUAGAGGAUGAGCAGAGUCAGAAUGCAGUGGGAUCAUCCGGCAUAAACGAUUAGAGGUCAGUUACAGAUGAGGAGAAGGCUGAGAUGUAAUCUGUUCAGGGUCAUAGUUCAGUCAACCUGUCAGAGGAGGAGCAGAGUUGGGGAGAAGACCUAGAGGAGAGCAGCUUGGAGUACUGGACAGGAGGGAGGAGGUGAAUGAUUCACUGAAUGAUCCGUUUACCAUGACGGAGGGGGUCAUAGGUCAGGCUGGGAGAGAUGAGGUGUGUUAUGUCAUGUUGGUCCGUCUCAGUGAUGAGGUUCUGGACAAGGUACUGGACCUGUUCAACAGAGUGAGAGGAGGGGAAACUACCAGGCAUCUGGGAGGAGGUGGUAGUGGUACCAACCAGGAAGACGGGGCAGAACCCAACCAGACCAACUAGUCAAGGGCGUAGGAGUGACUCUGAUAUGGGGGGGACACAUUUGACUACAGUGCGAAUGUUAAUAUAUUCACCAAAAUGUCUAUUUAAUAUGUUAGUUCUACAUGUUUUUCCACUUCUAGAAUCCACUUCUAGUUCGAUUCUCUUUGUCCAUGACUACGUUAAAUAUAGACAUGCUCUGGUUAAAAGAUACUGGGGAUGAUAAUUGUUUCAACAACAAUGGCUUGCAAUACUCAUUAUGUCUGGAUGAGUGUAUCAAGUAGAUAGUUACCCCAAAUAAUGUCGUCUUUCUGAACCGAGACCUUCCAGGUGUUGAAAGGACUCAAGCAUUCAGUAUGGAAAUUCCAGUUUGACUUUAAGAAAGUAGUGAUUUCUGAACAUGCCAUAGUCCUAACUAGCACUGGUAAAUGAUACUGUCAUUUCAGAUAGAUGAUAAUGUAACCAGAGUGCAUCUUGUUAAAUAAAUAAUACUACAGUGAUGUUGGUAACAUCUCAGUCAGGCGUGUUAGUCCAGCUUUAAGUAUUCCAA
This is a long non-coding RNA of Esox lucius (northern pike), 1900 nucleotides long. Lineage: Eukaryota; Metazoa; Chordata; Actinopteri; Esociformes; Esocidae. The record is from Ensembl.